This 458-nucleotide ribosomal RNA is filed under the name uncultured delta proteobacterium. Its description in RNAcentral is "bacterial SSU rRNA". It matches the Rfam family "Bacterial small subunit ribosomal RNA", at positions 925 to 1382 of the family's 1533-position model. Lineage: Bacteria; Deltaproteobacteria. The record is from RNAcentral.
ACAAGCGGUGGAGUAUGUGGUUUAAUUCGACGCAACGCGAAGAACCUUACCUGGGCUUGACAUCCGCUGACAGUCCCGAAAACGGGAUCUUCCCCGCAAGGGGACAGCGAGACAGGUGCUGCAUGGCUGUCGUCAGCUCGUGUCGUGAGAUGUUGGGUUAAGUCCCGCAACGAGCGCAACCCUCAUCCUUAGUUGCCAUCAUUGAGUUGGGAACUCUAAGGAAACUGCCUCGGUUAACGGGGAGGAAGGUGGGGAUGACGUCAAGUCCUCAUGGCCUUUAUGUCCAGGGCUACACACGUGCUACAAUGGGCGAUACAGAGUGACGCGAAGCCGCGAGGUGGAGCAAAUCGCAGAAAAUCGCUCUCAGUUCGGAUUGGAGUCUGAAACCCGACUCCAUGAAGGUGGAAUCGCUAGUAAUCGCGCAUCAGCAUGGCGCGGUGAAUACGUUCCCGGGCCUU